AUGUCUAAUACAUGCAAGUCGAGCGAGGCUUCGAGCCGAGCGGCGGACGAGCGAGUAACGCGUUGGAACCUGCCCCGAACUCAGGGAUAAGCAUCGGAAACGAUGUCUAAUACCGGAUAGUCCCGCAAGGGUAAAGAUUUUUCGGUUCGGGAGGGGCCUGCGUCCUAUCAGCUUGUUGGUGAGGUAAUAGCUCACCAAGGCAAUGACGGGUAACUGGUCUGAGAGGAUGAUCAGUCGCGAUGGAACUGAGACACGGUCCAUACUCCUACGGGAGGCAGCAGUAGGGAAUCUUCCACAAUGGGCGAAAGCCUGAUGGAGCAAUACCGCGUGGUUGAUGAAGCCCCUUGGGGUGUAAAGACCUUUUCUGAGAGAAGAAUUCUGACGGUAUCUUAGGAAUAAGCACCGGCUAACUCCGUGCCAGCAGCCGCGGUAAUACGGAGGGUGCAAGCGUUAUCCGGAAUAAUUGGGCGUAAAGCGUCCGCAGGCGGUCUAUUAAGUCACAUAUAAAAGACAACGGCUCAACCGUUGCAGCGUAUGAGAUACUGGUAGACUAGAGAUCAGUAGAGGUGUGUAGAAUUCUGCAUGUAGGGGUAAAAUCCGUUGAUAUGCAGAGGAAUACCAAAAGCGAAAGCAGCACACUGGACUGUUUCUGACGCUCAGGGACGAAAGCGUAGGUAGCGAACGGGAUUAGAUACCCCGGUAGUCUACGCCGUAAACGAUGGAUACUCGGUGUUGCCUUUGUUUAUCGAGGCAGUGCCCAAGCUAACGCGUUAAGUAUCCCGCCUGGGGAGUACGGUCGCAAGAUUAAAACUCAAAGGAAUAGACGGGGACCCACACAAGCAGUGGAGCAUCUGGUUUAAUUCGAUAAUAAGCGAGGAACCUUACCUAGGCUUGACAUCUUGGAGAAUUCUCUAGAAAUAGAGAAGUGCCUUCUGGAGCUCCGAUGACAGGCGCUGCAUGGUUGUCGUCAGCUCGUGCCUUGAGGUGUUCGGUUAAGUCCGUAAACGAGCGCAACCCACGUCACGUGUUGUAUUUUUCACGUGAGACCGCCGGCUACAAGUCGGAGGAAGGUGUGGAUGACGUCAAAUCAGCAUGGCCCUUAUGCCUAGGGCUACACAGGUGCUACAAUGGCCAGUACAACGGGCAGCUAAGUCGCAAGAUGGAGCGAAUCCUUCAAAACUGGUCUAAGUUCGGAUUGGGGGCUGCAAUUCGCCCCCAUGAAGUUGGAAUUGCUAGUAAACGUGCAUCAGCAAUGGCGCGUUGAAUUUGUUCCUGGGUCUUGUACACACCGCCCGUCACACCACCCGAGUUGGGGGUACCCGAAGCCGUUAGCCUA
RNAcentral lists this ribosomal RNA (1336 nucleotides) under uncultured bacterium. Its description in RNAcentral is "bacterial SSU rRNA". It matches the Rfam family "Bacterial small subunit ribosomal RNA". The record is from RNAcentral.